UUAUUUCUUUGAUAGUGUGAUCGGCCUCCGACGUUUUCUUCGAUCCCCGAGUGACUAGAUAAGUACUAUAAGAAGAAGAAAAUAAAGAGAUUAAGCACUAGGCUUAGUAAGCUUACAAGCAAAUAAAUCACAACAUUCAACAUAAUGGAUAAUUAUGCAUAAUAUCAUCUAACAUCAUAAAUUUCUUUACUUCUCAAUUUCUAUAUUCUUCUUUAUUCCCUUACCUUCUUUCUUACCUGACCUUUCCUUUUUCAUAAGUAUAAUCUACUUUUCCUUUGCUGUUAAUUCACUGUAAUUUAACUCGUAUCCUGACCCGUUGAACCACUCGGAAUACUAAGGAUACUAGGGUCGUUCCUGUCUUUCAAUAUCCUGCCAAUGCCAUGUCUUUGACAUGGACUUACAUGAAUUAUUCCUGUCUCCAAUGCCAUAUAUAAUAUGGACUUACAUGACUCAAUCCUGUCUCCAAAGCCAUAUUUCUAAUAUGGACUUACAUGGCUCAUUUCUGUUCUGUCAUGUCAACCCUAAUAUCCUAACAUUCCUAGGGUUCAACCGGGGCAUUCUAACACUUUUCCUCUGUCACUUCACCUUAAAUUCGACUUUAAAUAUUUUUAGAACAUAAAUAUAUAAAUGCUGGAAAUUGACAAUAAUAAUGUAAAAUAAAAGAAUAUUGCAUUUAUUUACUGUAACUUACCUUGAUACAAAAUGUGAAUAAACUUUACAAUUUAGUCCUUUACUUUUUAUGUUCCCCGAUCUACUCCCGAAUUUCGUUCUUCUUGAUCUAUAAUAACAAAUUUAACUUAUUUAAUAUUCACAUUUAUUAAAACAGUCCUUAACCCAACUUUUGUAAAAAUUAUAUUUUUACCCCUAAAUUUUCACAUAUUUGCACUUUUGCCCCAAGGCUCGUAAAUUAAACUUCAUCCUAUUUUCUUAUGUUUUAUGACAUGCUGAUCAUUUUUCCCUUCUAUGGCAAUAUCAAAAUCACACUCUAACAUAUACUUAUGACUAUUGGUAUUUUUUUUCUAAUUUAAGCCAUUUUACUCGUUUUCACUUAAAACCGAGUAGCAUAAGUUGUUUAACAUAAUUUAAAACCUCAUAUUCUAUCAUAAAACACCAAAAUACACAAAUUUCAGCCAUGGGCAUUUUUCCAAAUAUGAACCCUAGGUUGAAUUAUUGCUAGAAUAAGCUUAAUCAAGUUACCGGGACUCCAAAAAUGUAAAGAUCAUUAAAAACGGGGCUUGGAAUCACUUACUAUGAAGCUUGAAAGUUGAAGAAACCCCAGCUAUGGAGGAGAGCAAAAAUCGGC
Molecule: long non-coding RNA, 1303 nt
Filed under: Gossypium barbadense (sea-island cotton)
Lineage: Eukaryota; Viridiplantae; Streptophyta; Magnoliopsida; Malvales; Malvaceae
Description: long non-coding RNA (GBAR_LNC006681)
Source: RNAcentral